Molecule: long non-coding RNA, 2565 nt
Organism: Cololabis saira (Pacific saury)
Lineage: Eukaryota; Metazoa; Chordata; Actinopteri; Beloniformes; Belonidae
Exons: 2
Source: RefSeq, a predicted model, not a curated record
GGACGAUCCAAAAACACACUAACAAAUCUACAUCAGAAUGCCUGAAAACUAUCCGCCAAACCACUGCAAUAACAUCUUCAGCAGCGCUGUAAGCCAUAUGUGUUCGCUCCACAUCGAUAUAGCAAAGAACCAUGAACAUACUUGCUGUUCCAGCUCUGGUGGUCUUUUCCCACUUCGCCAUUUGUGGGAAACGGAACCCCUGGGACUGUUGAAGCUUUUAGACCUGGUUUUACACACUUACUCCCUCUAACUCACAGCACAGGUGUGCCAUGUAGGUUCACAGAGAGUAAUUAAACCUCAAUCACUUGCUACUUUUGGUGACAAGCAGUGAGAAAUUUGUGAUCUUGUAUAAACGUGUGUUUGCUUCUCGAAACUCUGUCUGAGGCUGAGCUACUAAAAUACUUUAGUAAAUAUUUCAGAUAUCUUACGAAGGUAUUAUAGGGUUCAUGUUUACUAUUCAAAUGAUUGAGAGUAAAACCAAACAUUAAUGGGUUUGGAGAGGAGCUAAUGAAGACCAGGAUCCAGAGCAGGGAGAGGAGAUUGCUUUUUAUAGAUUUGUUUCUUAUAUUUUCUCCAACUGAAUAGUUGAAAUAUGUGUUUAUAAUAUAGUGUCUUUGUAAAUGUAGUUUGCACGUUAUGCCUGUGGGGGUGCCAGUGUAAUGCUAGACGGACGGACGGAGGAACCAUUUGAUCCUACCAGUUAUUUUGGUAGGUUUGAAGUGGGGAGACUCGUUCAUCCCAGGGUGGUUAACCUGAAGGUCAUUUGGGUUACCGAUACUAAAGACAAUAAGUAAGACUUAUUGGUCACCAUUGUUACACUAUCUCUUCUUCUUCCUGUUAAGUGCUGCAGUACUUUUUUUCUUUCCACAUUUCUUUGUUUACUCGACAAAAAGGGCAGAAAAGAUUUGCAAUAAACUAAGCAAGCCAAGGUAAAAUAGCUAAGUGUCACUGAAAUAAGGUGGGCGUGUUCCAGUCAGUUUGCAUGGCUGCAGGUUCCGACCCUGAAAACCAGGCUUGAGAAACCUGCAGCGUUUGUCCAGUUCCAUCUGAUACAGUCUGACACUCAGCCUGAUAACAGGCUGAGUGAAAAUGAAAGUUUCAAAUUAGCAUUAUUUAACUGAAGUCCCCUUGGUUGGUAUUCCAGGGACUUAUCCUGGUAACACACGUGCGGUGAGACGAAAGAAACAGCUUUCUUUUUAAACUCAAUGUCUUGACUCAAUUUUUUCCAUUUAUAGACAAAACAUAAAUCUGUGUAUUAUUCUUCCUUUGUGGAACAAUAGACAAAAAGAGAAUAACUGUAUUUAUAUGUUUUUCUUUUGCUUUUUCGCUCUUCUUUUUUAAAAAACAAAAUGAGAAAAAAACAAGACAGAAACUAGGGUUGUUAGUUUUGUGUGUGCAAUGGACUGUUGGGAAAACAAGGAAACACAUGUCAAGUGUGAUGGAAAGUUGCAGGUUGUGAGGUAAAAAGUGGUUAAAUGGGUUAAAAGCUGAAAGCUUGUGAUCAGCCACCUGGAUGGGAGGAAUUGAGAGCAUUUGCCACACUUGUGUCACUAAAGAGUUUCAAAGCGAAUGUUCAGCAUUAGCUGGAUUACAUGGCUCAUAUGUUGCAAAAAAGAAAAAGCUCCAAAAAAUGAGCUCUAUGUAAAUUUAAUGAUCACUGUGUUUGCAACGAAAAGAAAAGAAAACUAUGUAUUUUUAUGUUUAUGCUCCCUUUGCAAUUCCUCUGUGCAGCUUAAACUGUAACCGAGAGUCUCUGCAGCAGUUGCAGGACAUGCUGGAUCCAAAGAUCGCCUUCAGCUGCACGCCUGUAACUGAGUAAGUACCGGACAUAUAUCAGCAGAGGCUCUGUUGCACCCUGGGACUCACUCCCACAGCUCUAAACCCAGUUUCCUUUGUCUUUAAUUGCAGGUCCCGUAUCCACUACUGCAUUGAAAGGGGUUUAACCACCGAGGCCUGCUGGAGUUAAACCUUUCUGACAUCAAACUGUCAGAAAAAAGCUGGGAAGACAUGUGUUCUUUUUCAUUCCGUCACAAAAGUCAACAAUAUUCUCUUCAUUCCUAGAUUAACUGCAAGUACAGCCGGAGCACUUGCUCUGAAACAGUCAUGUGUCAUCUUUUAAUCCUAUGGUUCCUUUUUUGGGGGGAUUUCUCAGCCAUUUCUCGUUCCAGCAUAGCUUUGAUCCAAUCAGGCAUUCAGGUUUUGGGUUGUUUGGUUAGACACCACUGCGUUUCAUCUGUGUUGACUUUUACAUUUUUCUUCAUUCACACAAAUGUAGAUUUGUUGAUUUGCUUUGGAAUAUUUUCCUGUUGCACGACCCAGUUUCAACAAAGUCUGAGAUGUAGCUCUUGUUUUUGUUUGUUUGUUUUUAUUUCUCUGAGCAUUAUUGAACAAUCUCAACUGAAGCUCAGAAAGGGACAUCUGCUCCUUAGAAAAUGUGCAUGUAUUUAAAUUUCUUUCCAUCUGUUAUUUACUGUUCAAUUGUGUCUUGCUGCUUUUAAUGUUGAUGUAAAGCACUUUGAAUUACCUUGUGGUAAAUUGUGCUAUACAAAUAAACUUGCCUUGCCU